ACAUGGCAAGUCGUACGAGAGUUUUUAACUCAAGUGGCGGACGGGUGAGUANAANGNNNNGAAUUUGCCUUUAGGAGGGGGACAACAACUGGNAAAGGUUGCUAAUACCCCAUAUGCUUUCGAGUGAAAUGGUUUUUCCGCCUAAAGAAAAGCUUGCGGCUGAUUAGCUUGUUGGUAAGGUAAUGGCUUACCAAGGCGACGAUCAGUAUCUGGUUUGAGAGGACGAUCAGACACACUGGAACUGAGACACGGUCCAGACUCCUACGGGAGGCAGCAGUGGGGAAUUUUCCGCAAUGGGCGAAAGCCUGACGGAGCAAUACCGCGUGAGGGAUGAAUGCCUAUGGGUUGUAAACCUCUUUUUUCAGGGAGGAAUAAAAUGACGUGUACCUGAAGAAUAAGCAUCGGCUAACUCCGUGCCAGCAGCCGCGGUAAGACGGAGGAUGCAAGUGUUAUCCGGAAUCACUGGGCGUAAAGCGUCUGUAGGUGGUUUAAUAAGUCAACUGUUAAAUCUUGAGGCUCAACCUCGAAACCGCAGUCGAAACUAUUAGACUAGAGUAUAGUAGGGGUAAAGGGAAUUUCCAGUGGAGCGGUGAAAUGCGUAGAGAUUGGAAAGAACACCGAUGGCGAAGGCACUUUACUGGGCUAUUACUAACACUGAGAGACGAAAGCUAGGGUAGCAAAUGGGAUUAGAUACCCCAGUAGUCCUAGCCGUAAACAAUGGAUACUAGAUGUUGAACAGAUCGACCUGUGCAGUAUUAAAGCUAACGCGUUAAGUAUCCCGCCUGGGAAGUAUGCUCGCAAGAGUGAAACUCAAAGGAAUUGACGGG
Molecule: ribosomal RNA, 827 nt
Filed under: uncultured cyanobacterium
Lineage: Bacteria; Bacillati; Cyanobacteriota
Description: bacterial SSU rRNA
Rfam family: Bacterial small subunit ribosomal RNA
Source: RNAcentral